RNAcentral lists this ribosomal RNA (272 nucleotides) under uncultured bacterium. Its description in RNAcentral is "partial small subunit ribosomal RNA". It matches the Rfam family "Bacterial small subunit ribosomal RNA", at positions 26 to 285 of the family's 1533-position model. The record is from RNAcentral.
AGAAUCAACGCUGGCGGCGUGCCUAACACAUGCAAGUCGAACGCGAAAGUCCCGCAAGGGAUAAGUAGAGUGGCAAACGGGUGAGUAACACGUGGGUGACCUGCCUUCGAGUGGGGGAUAACGUCCCGAAAGGGACGCUAAUACCGCAUAACAUCCUGCCUUUGAAGAGGUGGAGAUCAAAGCUGGGGACCGCAAGGCCUAGCGCUCAAAGAGGGGCCCGCGCCUGAUUAGCUAGUUGGUGAGGUAACGGCCCACCAAGGCUUCGAUCAGUA